CUUACUGUAAAAGGUUCUAUGCUACAGCAAAAAGUAAUGGCUAUAUACUUUUAGAGCCUAUAAAAGGAAAGAAUUAGUCAUUUUAUUCAGCACUUUAAUUAGCUCAAUACUACCAGUUUUAAAUAAGUUGAGUUUCUUCUUUCUAGUUUUAUACAAUCUUUAAUUUCUUCUACAUCUCCAAGCCUUAUAAACUGAUAUUAAUCAUUUCAUAGUCUAACAACUUUAUCAUGGUUAUAGUAAGUGUAUUACCUCAAACAUUUCUACUUUUAAGCUAUUAUAAAGCUCAAAAACACAUAAACACAUCAAGAUUGAAGUAUCUUAUUUUUCAACAGAAUAGACUUCUGAAAAUCCGAUAGAUAUGUUUCUAUCACUUAUCAUAAUUUUAAAUCAACGAUGAAGUUGAUGCUAGUGGCUAAAGCCGACGAUGAAGUUGAUGCUAGCCUCCGCCAACCUUCUUGUACUACUAUUCUAACAUAUAUAAGAGUUAAAGGAUCGCACAACAAUCUCGCUAUGAUUUGGAAACAAGACUUGAAGGGCUUGAAUUGAUAUUCUUUGGAUCCCCUCAGAUGUUGCUUGAGGCAAGGAUUAGGGAGAAUAAUGAUACUUUAAUGAAAUGGGAGAUAAGAGUUGGAGAAGAACAUCAGAAAGACAUAGAGGGGGAAUCCGUGGUACAGAAGGGUUGUCAUGGGAUGUUGUUAUUAGGAAAAGCUAUGCUCGGAAUAUGAUCACUGGUAUGUAUAUUGAACAAGGAUGGGAGCACUUUAUUUCUGAUAAUGAUAUUGAAGUUGGUGACACUUUGAUAAUGUACCAUAAAGGUGAAGGUGUUUUUCACACUAAGUUAUUUUCUUCAAGUGGUCAAGAGAAGACCUAUCUCAAUGUACCAACUACUGUAACAAAUGUAAUUUGAAGGAGACUCCCCUUUGACUGUUUCAUAAUUGGAUGGCCUGUUAAAUCUUAUGCAGCUUGAACACCCUGAACCUUCUUUCAAGUAUAUAUUAGAUAUUUAGAGCAUCUAUCAAGGAAUCAUUGUAGGUGACUUCUUUAUAAUAACUCAUAUUUCAUAUUUAUUUUUAAGCAAUCUAACUCGAAAACUUUGGUGUUUGGUAUACUUAGGCAGGAAGUUUCAGUUUCGUUUACUUCGCUCCAUUUCUCACAUUUACAAGGUUGUACUGUUGUGUUACUCCGUCAUAGAAAUAGGCAAUGGUGUGUUGAGCUACAUAUAAAGCGGAGAAGAAAUGGGAUUUCUGAGUGCUCACUUAGCAAUAGUGUUAACUUAUUUUAUGAAGAGCAGCGUAUAGUUGCGGGAGUAGGUACUGUGGUGCUCUAUCGACAAGGCUAUCCUCUCUUGUUUGAAUUAUUACUUGGACCAGUUUAGCUGCUCUAGUAUAGUAGAUUAUUAGUCUGCAUUUGUUCUAUUGGAAUUGCAAUAUCAUGUAAAAUAAUUAUCAAGUUUUGAAUAUCGUUGUUGCAGCCAGUUUUGCAAUUCUGAUCAGGUUAUUCUACCUAAUUAAUCACUUUAAGUUUGUAGCUCUGUAUAUUUUUCACUGUUACUGAGGUUGUUUUAGUUUGGUAAUGAUUUUCUGAAUUGGUUGUGUUUGAGUUGUUUUAGUUUGAUGCAGUUGUUUUAGUUUGAAAGUCCACUCUGUUUUAUUUUUGUAUCAGUUCUAUUACUUUGAUUUGUUUAUUUUGCUUUUUUCAUGAG
Chenopodium quinoa (quinoa) is the source of this 1702-nucleotide long non-coding RNA. RefSeq lists it as uncharacterized. NCBI's taxonomy places the organism in Eukaryota, Viridiplantae, Streptophyta, Magnoliopsida, Caryophyllales, Amaranthaceae. The transcript is spliced from 4 exons. The record is from RefSeq and is a predicted model, not a curated record.